AAUUCGAAGAAUUCCGAAAGCUCGAGCAACACGAAGAAAAAUUCCAUCCUUGACGUGGAUAAAUACGAAUGCUCGACGAUGCAAUUAGCGGUUUCGUUCUCCGACACGGUUGGACCCUCUCGUACUGGCAGAGGCGUCGAUUACAGAUGGAAUCCGAAGGAUGAGAAACAGCGGCCCCGCGGUCUAAAUUAGAAUUUUGGAGGUUGGAAGAGAAUCAGAAUUGAACGUUAUUGAAAUAACACAAAGGCAUUGAACUGCCAAUGGCAAUAAGCAAUAGCGUAUAAUUAACUGCGGUCAGAGAGCAAUUCUGAAGCUCCAUCGACCUGACACUGCUCGUAUAUUCUUCUCAAAGCCAUUACGGAGGACUGGCUCUGGCCUGACAAUAAUAACAGUAACAAUAACACGAAGUCGUGGAAGCUGGAUAUGAAUAUGUAUCAGAUACAUCCCUAUAGCCCUCGGAGCAGGGCGCGAAGAAAGAUCUUAUCGGGCUGGAAUAGGGUCCGUCGCCAGCCUUUCAGCAACAAAUUAAGGAUUUUAAGCCGAAAGUAAUUAGUCCCGGCGAACAAGGUGUCACUCCGUGAAAACGAGGAGACGGAGAGUCAGCCUUCAUUGUUCUCGUCGUAAUCCUCCGGGAACGUUCAUAACUUCCGUCGCUGGUCCGCAUCGAAGAAAGCGCUUGGAAAAGGAUGAUUUCGCUUUCCGGCCGAAUUAAUCGUCCCAUCGACGUGUUCCUUUCUUUUUUCGUCUACCUUCUUCGCUACGAAAAUAUUUCCUGGAAACUCUUGCGUGUCUCGAACAAUGAAUCCGACUGUCGUUCAAACUUGAAACAUCUUUCUUAGAACCGUAAGCAAGGUUUCGCGCAAAUCGGUUCUCGCAAAGAAGAAUUGCAAUCAAUUUCAUGUAACUGAAAAAGAGAUUACCGGAUACGAUCUCUUUCUCCCCUUUUCUCUCGCCGAGAGGAGAAGAAAGCUGACGCGAUAAUCUUAUUUAGCCUUUCACUCGGGCAAAUGGAUUAUUUCGGGCGACGCUGAAAGCCUCCUCGUACUCGAAAAUCGCGAAUCCUCUUUAGUUACUCCGCGAACGUAAUUAGUUAAUUAAAAGGUAAAGAGAGGGGAAAAGGAUGGCCGACCAGACAGCUUGGGAUUUGUGUCCUGAUCGCGGACAACCCCUUCGAUGCUGCUGCAUUUGCGUCGGGACGUCAAUUCGAUUCGAUGGACGUUCGCGUCGCUUUAUUUGCGAUUUCAAAUCGAACCGUGAAAUUACGACCUAACAGUCGCAUCUGUAUUGAUUGCGUUCCUCGGCAAUCAUCCCACAAAGCUUCCCCUUUCACUUUCGAUACACAUGAAAUUUGCAACUUUUUACAUAAAAAAAUACGUAUGUAUAUCCAUUGUACAGACUAUGUAUACGCGAACCAUAACAGUUCACCGAAAGAAGCUUCCCUAAGGGAUGCUCGAACCGAGCCACUUAUCCGUGAAUUUCAACCCUCCUCGAAUUUCGCGAAUUUCACGAGUACCCGACAACGGGAUCCCGAUAAUAUAUGCAAAAGCUCCACAAAGGAACAUUAACAUUUAUAUUCGCGAAGAUGCAGCGGCUCGUAAGUCCCGUAGACUUCCGUUACGGAAUUGCUAAUGAUAAGCAAAUAGGGGUGUUCUGUAUAUCUUUGACCGUCGAAGAUCCACCCUAUCGAUCCUUUAACAAAUUUUUUUUUUCCAUCAGGAUUAAGAGUAGAAGACACAGCUGUACUGACAGCAUUCGGGAUCUUAAUCAGUUUCGUUCGGUAUUCUCUGAGGAGAAUUUGACCAACGGGAGAAACCUCGGGGCGGAAUUCACCCUGCAUCCUUAAGAAAUUGGUAAAGGAAUUAGAUACGCGUGUAUACUUCCCAGAAUACGCGAAAUACCUGCACGCUUUUAUUCGACUACGAGCAAAUUUAAAAACGAACAGACUCGUAAAAGGUGAACGAAAAUAUCCUGUGCAAUCACCCCCUUGAAUAUUCCACGUAGACAGUGUGGAUUGCACACGCGUGCGAAUGCAUCGAAACGAGCAGACAAGAGGAAGAGAAAAUAAAAAAUAAAAAGAGGGAAAAUAGAGUGAGAGGCUGGACGGUGAAAAUAAGCGACUGAGUUCGAGGGGGUUCGUUUAUAAGCCGCGUGUGCUUUUUUGUAGUGCAAAUGAAUAGGUCCGACCCUCGUGUCCGAAACUUUUGUAAUUUUACGCCGUGGCUGGUCGGUGCAUUCAUUUUCCAGAAAAAUUUAAACUUUUCAUCCGUCUAGCUCUUCUUUUUCUUCCAAUUACCAAGGGAAGGGAUUUCGAAAGCACCGUGUAACGCGCCGUUUCUUUACUUAGAUCGUAUCACGAGAAGACACCGGUUAAAGCUCUCCUCCGACGAGCUGCGAAUCUAUUUAGGCUUAUCUUUUAAACGAAACAUUGCAACGAGGUAGAGAACGCCUCAUCCAUAUCAAUGUAGGGUACGUCGCGAGAUGGUUGAAAAGGAAUAGCAACCCUUCGAACCGAUCACGUACUCGUUUCCACCCUCCACGAUUCGACCCUUCCGCCUCGAGGAUCCGCUCCCGAGUCUUCGUUUACUUUCGAUUUCAAUUAAACCCUCCGAGCAAGUGUCGGUGCACGAGAUAGAAUUUAUAAUAAAAUAGAAUAAAAACCAUUAUUUUCUUUUUUCAGAAACCUGCUUCGCUGCUAUUGUGACUAUGGAAGGGAAUAAAUGAAAAAAAAAACGAAAGGUUUGUUCUACUCUGUUCACUGGAAUCUUUAUUAUAAAUUUCAGCCUACUAACAAGAUAAUUAAUCUUAUCGAGUACAUUGAAACGGUAAUGUGAAAAUAUCUUAACAAUUAUAAGAGACAAUUUGAACAUUUCAGCGGAUAUUCGUUUUCUUAACGAUGCUAUUUAAUUAAUCAACAUUUUAUAGAAGUAUAUGUAUUCUUUAAUUACGAUAUAAUUGAUGUAUCCCUGAUGAAAUUAGGCACUUAUAUUAAUUGUCUGGCGUGAUUAUAUUGCAGUAUUGCGAUGGAAGAAAUCGAUGAUCUGCAAACGUGAUUUUUCGACUAUUCUAUACAAUAUACAUAUUAAGGAAGCAAGAAUUUCUUAUCGUUCGCUAAAAUAUCGUAUAAGAAGCAGAAAAUCUAUUAGAUAAAAAUUCAUAUCUACAAACAACUGGUAGAUUUUAGACGCACAGUUAAUAGCAGACUUUUCAUAUAAGCUAUAACAAGCACUUUAUGGUAUUUCUCUUUCAAGUAAAUAGUUUUUAUGUGCAACUAGGAAGACACUUAUGUAAAUAUUAUUUUCUUGAGAAAUAUACAGAUACAGCAAUGAAAUGUUACUGUUUGCACAUAAUAAGUAUCUACUGUUGUACUAUUACACCGGUUUAUAAGGCACUACGAACAUUCGCUUGUUUCAAGAUUACUUACUGUAAUCAUAACACAAAAAUACAAGGCAACUUUCUACGUGCACAUAUUUCUUUUUUUUCAGUAAUAUCAAUUUUAGCUUUGGCAGUAAAAAAUAUUGAACAAAUUCACAAGAAAAUUGGACCAAAUUACUGAAUUUUUGAGCUUAAAUUUGGCAAGAGUAAUAUUCUAGAUUAAUAAAUUGUUGAAUAAAAAUACAAAUUUUGCAUACAAUCAGUUACAGUGCGUGUAAGUUAGCGGAUGCAACGAUACUGAUUCCUGUAUUGACAUAAUCGUUAAAUGCAUUCUCAGAAAUUUCAAAUUUCCACUGUAACAAGAUCUUGUUGAACCAGUAUAUGCAAAACUUGUUAUAUGUACACACGUGUCUUGUAAAUACUCUCUAUGUUUAGGAACUACGAAAUAAACUAAUAAUAUCAUUGUGCAUUUAUAA
This is a non-coding RNA of Osmia lignaria (orchard mason bee), 3848 nucleotides long. The record is from RefSeq and is a predicted model, not a curated record. NCBI's taxonomy places the organism in Eukaryota, Metazoa, Arthropoda, Insecta, Hymenoptera, Megachilidae.